RNAcentral lists this ribosomal RNA (301 nucleotides) under uncultured bacterium. RNAcentral's name for it is "partial 16S ribosomal RNA". It matches the Rfam family "Bacterial small subunit ribosomal RNA", at positions 509 to 807 of the family's 1533-position model. The record is from RNAcentral.
CAGUAGCCGCGGGAAUACGUAGGUGGCAAGCGUUGUCCGGAAUUAUUGGGCGUAAAGGGCUCGCAGGCGGUUUCUUAAGUCUGAUGUGAAAGCCCCCGGCUCAACCGGGGAGGGUCAUUGGAAACUGGGAAACUUGAGUGCAGAAGAGGAGAGUGGAAUUCCACGUGUAGCGGUGAAAUGCGUAGAGAUGUGGAGGAACACCAGUGGCGAAGGCGACUCUCUGGUCUGUAACUGACGCUGAGGAGCAAAAGCGUGGGGAGCGAACAGGAUUAGAUACCCGCGUAGUCCCUGUCUCUUAUAC